AUUGGUGCUUGCACCAGAUGACGAGUGGCGCACGGGUGCGUAACGCGUAUGCAAUCUACCUUUUACUAGAGUAUAGCCCAGAGAAAUUUGGAUUAAUCCUCUAUAAUAUCUUUAAGUUUCAUGACUUUUAGAUUAAAGUUUUAACGGUAAAAGAUGAGCAUGCGUCCUAUUAGUUUGUAGGUGAGGUAACGGCUCACCUAGGCUACGAUAGGUAGGGGCCCUGAGAGGGGGAUCCCCCACACUGGUACUGAGACACGGACCAGACUCCUACGGGAGGCAGCAGUAAGGAAUAUUGGACAAUGGACGAAAGUCUGAUCCAGCCAUGCCGCGUGCAGGAUGAAAGCCCUAUGGGUUGUAAACUGCUUUUAUACAGGAAGAAACACUCGUACGUGUACGAGCUUGACGGUACUGUAAGAAUAAGGACCGGCUAACUCCGUGCCAGCAGCCGCGGUAAUACGGAGGGUCCGAGCGUUAUCCGGAAUCAUUGGGUUUAAAGGGUCCGC
This 503-nucleotide ribosomal RNA is filed under the name uncultured Bacteroidota bacterium. Its description in RNAcentral is "bacterial SSU rRNA". It matches the Rfam family "Bacterial small subunit ribosomal RNA", at positions 72 to 572 of the family's 1533-position model. The record is from RNAcentral. Lineage: Bacteria; Pseudomonadati; Bacteroidota.